This is a non-coding RNA of Macaca mulatta (Rhesus monkey), 405 nucleotides long. NCBI's taxonomy places the organism in Eukaryota, Metazoa, Chordata, Mammalia, Primates, Cercopithecidae. The record is from RefSeq and is a predicted model, not a curated record.
CCAAUACUUUUAGAGUCAAGUUACAUAAGAUCAAGAACUGUCUAUGGAUUUGGUAAUUAGGACCUUAUCAAGAGCAAUUUUAGAUAAGGAAUAAAAUGAAAAACUACAGUGGCUUCUGGUGUCAGACAAGGUACUGAGGAAAUGGUAACAGAAAGAAAUGACAACUCAUCCACCUCAUAAAGUACUUACUGAACUGACCAAAUACAUAAUAAGACCUGUGAACCCUGGGGAUAACACGGUGUAACUGGCUCUUCGGACUUGCGUAGAACACAUGGUCAUAUUUCUCAUAAUGUGUCUGUCAACUAAUGGAAACAACUGCUGGGAUUUAGAAGCCUCUUACUUAAAUCGACUAUGAUAGACUGCUAAAACCACGUCUCAAUGUUGCUAAUAAAUGUCUGAAGAUAA